This 633-nucleotide ribosomal RNA is filed under the name uncultured bacterium. Its description in RNAcentral is "bacterial SSU rRNA". It matches the Rfam family "Bacterial small subunit ribosomal RNA", at positions 242 to 885 of the family's 1533-position model. The record is from RNAcentral.
CAGCUUGUUGGUGAGGUAAUGGCUCACCAAGGCGACGACGGGUAGCCGGCCUGAGAGGGCGACCGGCCACACUGGGACUGAGACACGGCCCAGACUCCUACGGGAGGCAGCAGUGGGGAAUAUUGCGCAAUGGGCGAAAGCCUGACGCAGCGACGCCGCGUGAGGGAUGAAGGCCUUCGGGUUGUAAACCUCUUUCAGCAGGGAAGAAGCGAAAGUGACGGUACCUGCAGAAGAAGCACCGGCUAACUACGUGCCAGCAGCCGCGGUAAUACGUAGGGUGCAAGCGUUGUCCGGAAUUACUGGGCGUAAAGAGCUCGUAGGCGGUCUGUCACGUCGGGUGUGAAAAUCCAGGGCUUAACCCUGGACCUGCAUUCGAUACGGGCAGACUAGAGUUCGGUAGGGGAGACUGGAGUUCCUGGUGUAGCGGUGAAAUGCGCAGAUAUCAGGAGGAACACCGGUGGCGAAGGCGGGUCUCUGGGCCGAUACUGACGCUGAGGAGCGAAAGCGUGGGGAGCGAACAGGAUUAGAUACCCUGGUAGUCCACGCCGUAAACGUUGGGCGCUAGGUGUGGGGAACCUUCCACGUUCUCCGUGCCGCAGCUAACGCAUUAAGCGCCCCGCCUGGGGAGUACGG